CAUAGCGACUAUCGUGGCAUAUCAAUAAGCGGAGGAAAAGAAACUAACAAGGAUUCCCCUAGUAACGGCGAGUGAAGCGGGAAGAGCUCAAAUUUGAAAUCUUCAAGGUUUGACCUUGACGAAUUGUAGUUUAAAGAAGUGUUUUCUGUUGGAGUUUUGGUAAAAGUUCUUUGGAAUAGGACAUCAUAGAGGGUGAGAAUCCCGUAUUUGACCAUUAUUUCCAGCUGUGUGAUACACUUUCAAAGAGUCGGAUUGUUUGGGAAUGCAGUCCAAAAUGGGUGGUAAAUUUCAUCUAAAGCUAAAUACUGGCGAGAGACCGAUAGCGAACAAGUACCGUGAGGGAAAGAUGAAAAGAACUUUGAAAAGAGAGUUAAACAGUACGUGAAAUUGUCAAAAGGGAAGCGUUUGACACCAGUGUUGUUUUCUCGAAAAUCAAUUACGAAUGUUUUGUUUUUAAGAAGUUAUGACUUCAUCGGCUUGCUUCUCUCUUUACGAAACUUUCUUAAUGCACUUUUCGGUUAACAAGUCAACAUCAAUUUCUUUUGUUGUAAAAGGGUAUGAGGAAGGUGGCUUUCUUUUCGGAGAAAGUGUUUAUAGCCUUGUACCUCUGCAAUCGGAGAGAUUGAGGUCUGCAGCGUAGAUCCUUCGGGGUUAGAUACAUUUGUGCUAAGUUAUAGCUUUUCAUAGACAACUUGUUGACUAUGUUAAGUCUUGUAGCUUACUCGCUUAUGCUAUUUUACCUACGCUUAGGAUGUUGAUAGUCACAGCGUGUAC
RNAcentral lists this ribosomal RNA (774 nucleotides) under uncultured Neocallimastigales. RNAcentral's name for it is "partial large subunit ribosomal RNA". It matches the Rfam family "Eukaryotic large subunit ribosomal RNA", at positions 22 to 642 of the family's 3401-position model. The record is from RNAcentral. Lineage: Eukaryota; Fungi; Neocallimastigomycota; Neocallimastigomycetes; Neocallimastigales.